CCCCCCUCACGCGCCCUGCUGCGCGCUGGUGUUGGGGCUCCUCCGCCUGGCGGAGGGCCCCGAAAGCGAUUGGCGGGCCCGGCUGGCUGGCUCCGAGCGCAGUACCGAACGCAAGUUCCCCCUCGCCCGAGAGCUCCGCCGGCGCCCUGCCGUCAAAACGCGCAUGACGUGCAACUCUUUUACAAGG
This 187-nucleotide unclassified non-coding RNA is filed under the name uncultured Sporothrix. Its description in RNAcentral is "sequence contains ITS2". The record is from RNAcentral. Lineage: Eukaryota; Fungi; Ascomycota; Sordariomycetes; Ophiostomatales; Ophiostomataceae.